Mycena rebaudengoi is the source of this 91-nucleotide non-coding RNA. Lineage: Eukaryota; Fungi; Basidiomycota; Agaricomycetes; Agaricales; Mycenaceae. The record is from the annotation of a GenBank genome assembly.
GGCAGGAAGGCGCACGGUGCGCGUUGCGCUUCGGUCAGAGCUCCAGCUAUUGAGUAACCCGAAGGUCCCCGUUCGACUCGGGGUCCUGCCG